This is a long non-coding RNA of Lactuca sativa (garden lettuce), 1400 nucleotides long. RefSeq lists it as uncharacterized. The record is from RefSeq and is a predicted model, not a curated record. Lineage: Eukaryota; Viridiplantae; Streptophyta; Magnoliopsida; Asterales; Asteraceae.
GUUACACAACAUGUCUUAAUCUUCUUUCCUCUUCCAUUAACGUGGCGUUUACCUGAUGUCACCGACUUUGUAACUCAAUCAUAUUAGGAUUGGUGUCGCCAUAUCUAAUAGCUAGCGAACAUCAUAAACGAUGAAGGAAGCUCAUCGCUUCAACCUCCCUUCACUCAUUAUGUAAUUCAUGAGUAUCAGAAACCUUACAUUUAUCGACACCUCCUUCCACUUUCUCCACUCCUGCUGUUUGUCGCCUGCCACCGCCUUUAUCCUCUCAAUUAGGUCAAUUUUUGUAUUGAUUUUAUUCAGAUUCGGGAAUAUACCUUAAGGAACAGGGAAGGGUAUGGGUGUAAUAAUCGACCGAUUGGUGGAUUAGUUUACCGAGGGUUAGUGUACUCUCCUUCUUCCACAAAGGAUCCUCUCUAUUGUCAUUUCUUCUUUUCCUCCCAUCAAAACCUCCACAUCCUCUCAUCAUCGGCUUCUUAUCCAUCGUUGUCUACUCCCUUCGGUUUCCAAUCGAAGCUUGUGGUAGAAGAAGACGAUGGGCCAGCAGUAGCACGCCCAAUCAUCUCUACAGCCGUGACUCUACUUGAUUAUGGUGCCAGGAAUGUUCAAAGUAUUAGAAACACAAUCCGAUAUCUGGGUCUCGAUAUCAAAGAUGUUGAAACACCGGAAGACAUUGUGAAUGCAAAGAGUAUUAUUGUUCUUAGGGUUGGAGCAUUUGCUGCAAUGAUAGACAACAGGUAAGUUUUACACAUCAUAUUUACAAUGUUUUUUCAUCCAUUAACAAACAAAAUUAAGAUUUAUUUGAGAGAUUCAGCAGCUAGAGAUGAGUUUCCUCAUUGUGUUUAGCGGGUCAAAGGCACCAAUGUCGGCCCAUGGUGAGUUUCCCAUGGAGAUUCUUCGAACCAGCAAACCGAGAUUUAUUUGAGAGAUUCAGUAGCUAGAGGUGAGUUUCCUCACUGUGUUUAACGGGUCGAAGGCACCAACAUCGACCCAUGGUUUAUUAUGAUUAGGAUGUUAGUUGUCUGUGUGACUUUUGCAUUUAAGAUAUUGAUAUGUAUAUUGGGCAUGGCCCGAUGACUAUCAUGUAUGCUAUUUAUCUUUGUGAUUAUUGCAUGUGUUUAUAUGAUUAUAUGUUUAUAUGUAUAUCGGGCGGCGUCUGAUGCCAGGCAGGGUCUGAUGACUGCCAGAUUUGUUCUGAGCGGGGCCUGGUGACGGGCAAUGCCCAUUAUAUGUUUGAUAUGUAUGGUAUGUGGUAUUUGGGAACUCACUAAUUUUUGUGCUUACUAUUAGGAAUAAAUCUCUUAUGUAAAUUAGUUAUUUUGUUUCCUUUUAUUCAUGUUGUAAUUGUAUAUAUAUUUGUUUCAAUACUUCAAUAAUAUUGAAGGGAAAUCAUUCUCACAUGG